UACGUAGGGUGCAAGCGUUGUCCGGAAUUAUUGGGCGUAAAGAGCUCGUAGGCGGUUCGUCGCGUCGGCUGUGAAAUCCCGAGGCUCAACCUCGGGUCUGCAGUCGAUACGGGCGGACUGGAGUUCGGCAGGGGAGACUGGAAUUCCUGGUGUAGCGGUGAAAUGCGCAGAUAUCAGGAGGAACACCGGUGGCGAAGGCGGGUCUCUGGGCCGGUACUGACGCUGGAGGUGCGAAAGCGUGGGGAGCAAACAGG
This 254-nucleotide ribosomal RNA is filed under the name uncultured bacterium. RNAcentral describes it as "partial 16S ribosomal RNA". It matches the Rfam family "Bacterial small subunit ribosomal RNA", at positions 524 to 776 of the family's 1533-position model. The record is from RNAcentral.